UACUGUUACUGAUGAACUUGUGUAAUACAAUGGGAAUCUCUCUGAAAUGUAAAGAGUUUUACCUUGAAGAGAAUUUUGCACUGAAACAGUA
This is a small nucleolar RNA of Varanus komodoensis (Komodo dragon), 91 nucleotides long. Its record names the gene SNORD79. It matches the Rfam family "Small nucleolar RNA SNORD79". From Rfam's summary of the family: snoRNA U79 or Z22 is found in intron 7 of the gas5 gene in humans and is also present in mice. U79 is a member of the C/D class of snoRNA which contain C (UGAUGA) and D (CUGA) box motifs. The record is from Ensembl. NCBI's taxonomy places the organism in Eukaryota, Metazoa, Chordata, Lepidosauria, Squamata, Varanidae.